GCCUAAGUGGCGAAACUGGCAUACGCAGCAGACUCAAGAUCUGCCGGUAGCAAUACCGUGGGGGUUCGAGUCCCUUCUUAGGCACCA
RNAcentral lists this transfer RNA (87 nucleotides) under Mycoplasmoides fastidiosum. RNAcentral's name for it is "tRNA-Leu". It matches the Rfam family "tRNA". From Rfam's summary of the family: Transfer RNA (tRNA) molecules are approximately 80 nucleotides in length. Their secondary structure includes four short double-helical elements and three loops (D, anti-codon, and T loops). Further hydrogen bonds mediate the characteristic L-shaped molecular structure. tRNAs have two regions of fundamental functional importance: the anti-codon, which is responsible for specific mRNA codon recognition, and the 3' end, to which the tRNAs corresponding amino acid is attached (by aminoacyl-tRNA synthetases). tRNAs cope with the degeneracy of the genetic code in two manners: having more than one tRNA (with a specific anti-codon) for a particular amino acid; and 'wobble' base-pairing, i.e. permitting non-standard base-pairing at the 3rd anti-codon position. Lineage: Bacteria; Bacillati; Mycoplasmatota; Mycoplasmoidales; Mycoplasmoidaceae. The record is from RNAcentral.